GUCAAGUUGGAAAUUUUAUUUUAAAAUUCAUGGUGCAAUGGCAUUAUAAUAAACCUUAUUUUUCCUUCUGCAGUCUGUUUCUGGAUGCUGGCAGUCAUUCAGAAACAUUUGCUGAGCACCUCGUACCUGCUGAAUGAACCCACGUGAAGGGGAGCCAGGAGUGCGGAUCAUUAAAAAGCCUGUACUUUCUCAGUCCCCAUUUGACACCACAGAGAGAAAAUGCAUGCUCCUGAUUUGGGUAGAUCUAGAAUGUUCUUAUGAAUAUGUCUUUGCCCGGCACAGUGACUCACUGGCGUCCCUUUCAGGACUUUCUCCCGCCUGAUAACAUCUAAAUGACUCAUGCCUACACCACCUGGAGAGCUCAGGGAAGGCACGGUUUGUUCAGGCCACCCUCACUCCAAGGGCCAGCCCUUUUUUGGAAUAGAAACUAAAAGUUGGUAGCUUCCAUUUGUAGUUCCAUCUAACAGAAGAGCCGACCCACUCACAUUAGCUGGCUCACGACUAAGGCAACCAAUGCCUCCCAGAACAUAGACUCAACUGGCAACCCCGGCACUGAAGGUCAAGGUGAGUCAAAGACACUCAUGCAGAAGGGUGGAUGCUCUUCCAAGUGUGACUGGCUGGCCUGCACGGCUCACUGCCUCCCCUCCUCCCGUCAAGAUGCAGCUUCAGUUUAAACCACCUUCGUUCCAUUCAUCAAAGAGGAAUAUUUACUGUUAUUGUAAUGACUCUUCUCACAGUACACAAGGCUACACCUGAAACACACAGGCCUUUCAGAAAGCACAAAGGAGCAUUGUGCAAGCCCCUGCCCAGUGAGAUGGAUGGGGGCGUAGACACGCCAGUUAACAGCCGGGCUUUGCAGGCCAGCAAGACUUAUCUGUGGCCGCACCAUGGCCACUGAGCUUGUACCUUUCUUCUUUUAAAAAUUGCUCCUUCAUUAUAAGCAGAGUUAAAUACCUGCACAUGUGAUUUGUGUUGAAAUAAUAAAGCAACAAACACACAUCAAGCUGAGGAGAGAAUCUUGGCUAAGGUAGGAAGUCGUGGGUCUGGUCUCAGUCUGUGCUGCUGACCAACUGUAAGAACUCAGAACUCACUGUCCACUCAGGACCACAGUGUCUCAUCUGAAAGGACGAGGAGACUGGAACACACCAGAGCCAUGGUUCUCAAUGUGUGGUCCAGAGGCCCUCGGGGGUCCCUGAGCCUCUUUCUGGGGAUCUGUGAGGUCAAAACUACUUUCACAAGUAUGGUUUGCCUUUUUCACUCUCACUCUCUCAUGCUUGAACAAUGGAAUCUUCUAAAGGCUUCCUGACACGUGAUGCUACAAUGGAUGGAAUCCAGAGGUGGAUAGGAGAAGCCAGCUGCCUUCUAUUAAACCAGAAAUGAAGAACAUUUGCAGAAAUGUACAACAAUGCCAUGCUUCCCAUUAAUUAUUUUGUUCUUGCUUUAGAAUAUGUCACUUUUCAUUGAAAAAUGUUACUCAUGAUUUUAUGUAAAAG
Molecule: long non-coding RNA, 1493 nt
Filed under: Homo sapiens (human)
Lineage: Eukaryota; Metazoa; Chordata; Mammalia; Primates; Hominidae
Description: HSALNT0404150
Source: RNAcentral